GAUGAACGCUGGCGGUAUGCUUAACACAUGCAAGUCGAACGGACUCUUCGGAGUUAGUGGCGGACGGGUGAGUAACGCGUGAGAAUCUGGCUUUGGGUUCGGGACAACCACUGGAAACGGUGGCUAAUACCGGAUGUGCCGAGAGGUAAAAGAGAAAUUGCCUGAAGAUGAGCUCGCGUCUGAUUAGCUAGUUGGUGAGGUAAAGGCUCACCAAGGCAGCGAUCAGUAGCUGGUCUGAGAGGAUGACCAGCCACACUGGGACUGAGACACGGCCCAGACUCCUACGGGAGGCAGCAGUGGGGAAUUUUCCGCAAUGGGCGAAAGCCUGACGGAGCAAUACCGCGUGAGGGAAGAAGGCUCUUGGGUUAUAAACCUCUUUUCUUAGGGAAGAACAAAAUGACGGUACCUAAGGAAUCAGCAUCGGCUAACUCCGUG
RNAcentral lists this ribosomal RNA (435 nucleotides) under uncultured bacterium. RNAcentral describes it as "partial 16S ribosomal RNA". It matches the Rfam family "Bacterial small subunit ribosomal RNA", at positions 28 to 507 of the family's 1533-position model. The record is from RNAcentral.